RNAcentral lists this long non-coding RNA (296 nucleotides) under Anas platyrhynchos platyrhynchos (common mallard). RNAcentral describes it as "lncRNA (ENSAPLG00000026378.1)". Lineage: Eukaryota; Metazoa; Chordata; Aves; Anseriformes; Anatidae. The record is from RNAcentral.
UCUAACUGGUCUUAAUUCUGAGGGUCAGGAAAUAAAAUCAAAGCCUGCCUAUUCCUGGAAUCCUGAGAUUAACUUCACAAGUCAGAAUCCUUGCCAGAAAAGUGCUAUUUACCAAAGAUUUUCAGAAGGAAUAUGUUAUCUGAAGUUAAACACACACCGUGAUCUUCUCCAGGAAAGAGCAGCUGACUUUGUGACUGGCCAUUUUAUCAGCUCAGCACAGAUUCACUGCCAACCCCACAAGUUCCAAGGAUUCUUCCAAGUUUAGCAUGUCCUCUUCUGGUUCUCAAAAAAUGCCA